UGCUUCAGCAACUCCUAUCCCUACCUCCUCAUGGUACUGGCCGGGGUACGAGUAACCUUGGGGAAGAUCGGGUAACCAACCCCCGGUGGGAACUUUGGUCGUAUGCUGACAGGGAAGG
Non-coding RNA from Aedes aegypti (yellow fever mosquito), 118 nucleotides. The record is from Rfam. NCBI's taxonomy places the organism in Eukaryota, Metazoa, Arthropoda, Insecta, Diptera, Culicidae.